This 533-nucleotide ribosomal RNA is filed under the name uncultured bacterium. Its description in RNAcentral is "bacterial SSU rRNA". It matches the Rfam family "Bacterial small subunit ribosomal RNA", at positions 976 to 1509 of the family's 1533-position model. The record is from RNAcentral.
CGGCCUUGACAUACUAAGAACUUUCCAGAGAUGGAUUGGUGCCUUCGGGAACUUAGAUACAGGUGCUGCAUGGCUGUCGUCAGCUCGUGUCGUGAGAUGUUGGGUUAAGUCCCGNAACGAGCGCAACCCUUUUCCUUAUUGCCAGCGGGUCAUGCCGGGAACUUUAAGGAUACUGCCAGUGACAAACUGGAGGAAGGCGGGGACGACGUCAAGUCAUCAUGGCCCUUACGGCCAGGGCUACACACGUGCUACAAUGGUCGGUACAAAGGGUUGCUACCUCGCGAGAGGAUGCUAAUCUCAAAAAGCCGAUCGUAGUCCGGAUCGCAGUCUGCAACUCGACUGCGUGAAGUCGGAAUCGCUAGUAAUCGCGGAUCAGAAUGCCGCGGUGAAUACGUUCCCGGGCCUUGUACACACCGCCCGUCACACCAUGGGAGUUUGUUGCACCAGAAGUAGGUAGUCUAACCGCAAGGAGGACGCUUACCACGGUGUGGCCGAUGACUGGGGUGAAGUCGUAACAAGGUAGGCGUAGAUGA